UACGGGGGGGCAAGCGUUGUUCGGAAUUACUGGGCGUAAAGGGCUCGUCGGCGGCCAACUAAGUCAUACGUGAAAUCCCUCGGCUUAACCGGGGAACUGCGUCUGAUACUGGAUGGCUUGAGAUUGGGAGAGGGAUGCGGAAUUCCAGGUGUAGCGGUGAAAUGCGUAGAUAUCUGGAGGAACACCGGUGGCGAAGGCGGCAUCCUGGACCAACACUGACGCUGAGGAGCGAAAGCCAGGGGAGCAAACGGG
Molecule: ribosomal RNA, 252 nt
Filed under: uncultured bacterium
Lineage: Bacteria
Description: partial 16S ribosomal RNA
Rfam family: Bacterial small subunit ribosomal RNA
Source: RNAcentral